Molecule: unclassified non-coding RNA, 374 nt
Filed under: uncultured Pseudomonadota bacterium
Lineage: Bacteria; Pseudomonadati; Pseudomonadota
Description: uncultured proteobacterium contains 16S-23S intergenic spacer region
Source: RNAcentral
UCCGGUUUGUCACCGGCAGUCUCCCUAGAGCGCCCUUGCGUAGCAACUAGGGACAAGGGUUGCGCUCGUUGCGGGACUUAACCCAACAUCUCACGACACGAGCUGACGACAGCCAUGCAGCACCUGCGUUACGGCUCCCUUUCGGGCACACCCCCAUCUCUGAGGGCUUCCGUACAUGUCAAGGGUAGGUAAGGUUAUUCGCGUUGCAUCGAAUUAAACCACACGCUCCGCUGCUUGUGCGGGCCCCCGCCUAUUCCUUUGAGUUUUAAUCUUGCGACCGUACUCCCCAGGCGGCGAACUUAAUGCGUUAGCUGCGGCGCCGAGGGGGUCGAUACCCCCGACACCUAGUCCGCAUCGUUUACGGCGUGGACUAC